Molecule: ribosomal RNA, 383 nt
Filed under: uncultured bacterium
Lineage: Bacteria
Description: bacterial SSU rRNA
Rfam family: Bacterial small subunit ribosomal RNA
Source: RNAcentral
AUUGAACGCUGGCGGCAUGCUUUAUACAUGCAAGUCGUGCGGCAGCGCGGGGGCAACUCUGGCGGCGAGCGGCGAACGGGUGAGUAAUACAUAGGAACGUAUCCUGAAAUGGGGGAUAGCUCGGCGAAAGCCGGAUUAAUACCGCAUACGCUCCACGGAGGAAAGCAGGGGAUCGCAAGACCUUGCGUUUCUGGAGCGGCCUAUGUCUGAUUAGCUAGNGGCGGGGUAAUAGCCCACCAAGGCGACGAUCAGUAGCUGGUCUGAGAGGAUGAUCAGCCACACUGGAACUGAGACACGGUCCAGACUCCUACGGGAGGCAGCAGUGGGGAAUAUUGCGCAAUGGGCGAAAGCCUGACGCAGCCACGCCGCGUGAGCGAUGAAGG